UACGUAGGGUGCAAGCGUUGUCCGGAAUUACUGGGCGUAAAGGGCUCGUAGGCGGCCAACUAAGUCGGAUGUGAAAUCCCCAGGCUCAACCUGGGAACUGCAUCCGAUACUGGAUGGCUUGAAUUCGGGAGAGGGAUGCAGAAUUCCAGGUGUAGCGGUGAAAUGCGUAGAUAUCUGGAGGAAUACCGGUGGCGAAGGCGGCAUCCUGGACCGACAUUGACGCUGAGGAGCGAAAGCCAGGGGAGCAAACGGG
Molecule: ribosomal RNA, 253 nt
Filed under: uncultured bacterium
Lineage: Bacteria
Description: partial 16S ribosomal RNA
Rfam family: Bacterial small subunit ribosomal RNA
Source: RNAcentral